Molecule: ribosomal RNA, 108 nt
Organism: Vigna angularis (adzuki bean)
Lineage: Eukaryota; Viridiplantae; Streptophyta; Magnoliopsida; Fabales; Fabaceae
Source: Rfam
AGGUGCGAUCAUACCAGCACUAAUGCAUCAGAACUCUGCAGUUAAGCGUGCUUGGGUGAGAGUAGUACUAGAAUGGGGACCUCCUGGAAAGUCCUCGUGUUACACCUC